This 119-nucleotide ribosomal RNA is filed under the name Carlito syrichta (Philippine tarsier). The record is from RNAcentral. Lineage: Eukaryota; Metazoa; Chordata; Mammalia; Primates; Tarsiidae.
GUAUCUGGCCAUAUCACCCUGAACGCGCCCGAUCUCCUCUGAUCUCUGAAGUUAAGCAGGGUCGGGCCUUGUUAGUACUUAAAUAGGAGACUGCCUGGGAAUACCAGGUGCUGUAGGCU